This 428-nucleotide ribosomal RNA is filed under the name Schaalia odontolytica. Its description in RNAcentral is "bacterial SSU rRNA". It matches the Rfam family "Bacterial small subunit ribosomal RNA", at positions 28 to 449 of the family's 1533-position model. Lineage: Bacteria; Bacillati; Actinomycetota; Actinomycetes; Actinomycetales; Actinomycetaceae. The record is from RNAcentral.
GACGAACGCUGGCGGCGUGCUUAACACAUGCAAGUCGAACGCUGAAGCCCAGCUUGCUGGGUGGAUGAGUGGCGAACGGGUGAGUAACACGUGAGUAACCUGCCCCCUUCUUUGGGAUAACGCCCGGAAACGGGUGCUAAUACUGGAUAUUCACUGGCCUUCGCAUGGGGGUUGGUGGAAAGGUUUUUUCUGGUGGGGGAUGGGCUCGCGGCCUAUCAGCUUGUUGGUGGGGUGAUGGCCUACCAAGGCUUUGACGGGUAGCCGGCCUGAGAGGGUGACCGGUCACAUUGGGACUGAGAUACGGCCCAGACUCCUACGGGAGGCAGCAGUGGGGAAUAUUGCACAAUGGGCGAAAGCCUGAUGCAGCGACGCCGCGUGAGGGGAUGACGGGCCUUUCGGGGUUGUAAACCUCUUUCGCUUCAAUGGUC